UCCUUUUCAGACUUACUACCCCCUAGCCAAUUAUACUCCAUUUUGUAGUUGUGCAUUGAAUUUUUCCUUUCUAAAUGAAGAACUUAGCAUUUGUCUGUAUUGAAUUUCAUCUUGUUGAUUUCAGACCAAUUCGCCAAUCCGUCAAGGUCAUUUUGAACUCUCAUCCUGUGCCCCGAAGUGCUUGCAACCCUGUUCCAGUUCGGUGCCGUCCGUAAAUUUUAUAAGCAUACUCUUCACUCCAUUAUCCAAGUCAUUGAUGAAAAUACUGAAUAGUACCAGACCCAGGACUGAGCCCCAUGAGACUUCAUUAGAUACCCCUUCCCAGUUUGAGAGCGAACCAUGGAUAACUACUCGUAAACAAGUGAUGAUUCAGCAGAAAGGCUUGAGGGCAAAGGCACCUGGAGCCAAGCUGGGGAACAGUAGCCGCAUUCUGUUCGGGGCGUCAGUGGGACAGGGAGCCUGAACUGCAGGGAUGAGAAGGGCCAGGACUGCAUCGAGCAAGACGUCCAAACACAAGGUGCUUCUGUCUCACGUUGGCGAGGAUGCCAGGCCGCUCGCAGGCAAAAAUAAAAUCGAUGGAGCUUCCAGCUAGGAGGAGAAACACCUGAAAGCACACGAGCACCUGUCCUUGAGAGAUCCCCAGCCUGAAUGUACACACCGACGGAGAGGAGCGGGAUCCAAACUUUCAGCUGAUUCUCCAAAGCAGGAAACCUUUAGACGCUCUCCCAUUGUCACAAUGAAGGCCUGAUCCUGCCCCCCCGGGGAGCUUGGGGGAAGCGGGAGCAGGCCCCAAAGAUCACAUGGCCCCAAAGAUAAUGGCCUAGGGGAAAAAACGUUUGCAGGGGAAGAAAAAGGAACCAUUUUUGAGGCUGUUUAGGGUUCCAGGUUCCAGAAGGACUGGUUCCACACAUUUCUUCUUGACGUCACUGGGAGGAGGCACUUGGCUCCUCUGACAGGCCCCACUGGUGUUUCGAUGAUUAUUACCUGUUAUCAUAUCAUCAUACCUAUUAUCAUAGUAUCUCUGGGCCCCAGUCCCGGAGAAGGAUGCCCCUAUGCAAAGGGCUGUAUCAACACAGAACAAAAACAGGGUCCCUGCCCUAAGGCGCUUACUGUCUAAGCGGCCACUCAAAAUCAGUGGCUGCUUUUGAAAACAGCCUCAUUAGCUUGGCUUAAUCACUCGGCAAGUUCCUUCUUUAAUGUUUAAACUAGCAUUGAUCUGUACAAGAUGUAAUCGAGGUGCCCUAAUUGCAUAAACUGCGUAUUUUGGGUUUGUUUUUUUCUUAUACUGUGUCAUCAUGGCAGACCAGAUCAACAGCUCUGUGUUGAGGGGAAGGAUGGUCUUGUCUGGAUUCAACACCCAUUUCUGCCGCAGGCUCCCUGUGUCAUCUUAGACCAGUCAUUUAAAGGAUGGAAUUUCUGCUGGUGCUGUAGAUUCUCAGCACUUCUGAUAACCAGGCCCUUAACUCUGUCCCCUCCACCCCCAUCUGUAUAGGGACUAGGGAUAACACCAUUUCCUUUCUGCCUUGUCUAUUUAGACUGUAAGCUCUUUGGAACAAGGACUAUCUAAUACUGUGUGUCUGUCCAGCGCCUAUUACAUACAAUAGGGCCCCUGUCUCUCAGUGCUAGCAUAGUAAUAAAUUGCUACACAUGGACAUACAUUUAUACACCGGUAAACAGAGCUGCCCCCUGAACUGGGUUGUAUCCUUGGCGCAAACUCCGAGUGAACUUCUACAGCUGAGUUUAAAUCCGCCCCUGAGAACAUGGGUUUGUGCUGACAUGACCUUAACCGCAGGGGCACAAGUGAGAUUACAUAGUGGUGAAUCCCUGAAUCAGAAAAUUAAAGGUGAGGCCUCAGCUGAUAAGAAUUUUGUUCCCAGCUGCUCCUUACCAUUUCCCCAGUUCUCCCAACACGCUCUCCCUGCGGAGGCUGGCCUCCCGGCUCUUCCCCCAGGCAUGAUUUGUUAGAAUGGCAUCUCUCCCGUCGUCAAAGAGACAAGAAGAUACAAUAGCCCCUGGGGUGGGCGGGUGUGUUUCCAAACUGUCAUGAGACUAGUGUUCGAGAGGGUGCAGUCUUGCCAGACCCUAACUGUCUGGGCCCCACCCCUCUAAAAGGCCCCAUCUUCAGUUCAACCCUGUCCAAAGCCCACUGCAGCCAACAGAAGUCUUUCAAGCCCAGAGCCAGGGAAUCCAGUUACAACCAAUGAUUGUCCCCUGAUCUUUUUGCAACUUUUAGCCUACUUGUAGCUGGACUAAACUAUUAUUUAUCAUACAGUAGCAGAGAGAGAGACCUCCAGCCAAGAUCCAGGCCCCAUUGUGUUAGGUGCUGUAAAUACCCCAAGUAAGAGACAGUUCCUGCCCUGAAGAGC
Chrysemys picta bellii (western painted turtle) is the source of this 2366-nucleotide long non-coding RNA. RefSeq lists it as uncharacterized. The record is from RefSeq and is a predicted model, not a curated record. NCBI's taxonomy places the organism in Eukaryota, Metazoa, Chordata, Testudines, Emydidae.